GGGGCUGUAGCUCAGCUGGGAGAGCACCUGCUUUGCAAGCAGGGGGUCAUCGGUUCGAUCCCGAUCAGCUCCACAA
This 76-nucleotide transfer RNA is filed under the name Deltaproteobacteria bacterium CG11_big_fil_rev_8_21_14_0_20_47_16. RNAcentral's name for it is "tRNA-Ala". It matches the Rfam family "tRNA". Rfam says of the family: Transfer RNA (tRNA) molecules are approximately 80 nucleotides in length. Their secondary structure includes four short double-helical elements and three loops (D, anti-codon, and T loops). The record is from RNAcentral. Lineage: Bacteria; Deltaproteobacteria.